AUGGGCCGUGUUGGUAGGGAGCUUCGCGUAAUGCAUGAUGUUCUGUGUCAGAUGGACAUUCGUAGUCGCAACAAUCAAGUACAUGAGGGCUGGUUGGAGGAGGUACGGAAAGUAGCAUAUGUGAUGGAGGACAUGGUGGAUGAGUACUCGUAUCUUGUUGGUCGGGAACAUGAUAUUGGUUGUUGUUUUUUUCUAAAGAAGGGUUUCAAGAAGCCAGGAUCUCUGCUUUCUUUGAGCAAGAUAGCUUUCAAGGUGAAGGAAAUAGAGAAAGACCUUUCACACCUAUCAGAUACAAAAAACCAUUGGGUUGCCACAAUAAGCAAUGGGGAUGCAAGCAACUCACAUUACAUUGUCAAGAGAUCCCAAGAUCUGGCAAACAUCUCACGCUCUCUUGAUGAAGAAGAUCUAGUGGGGGUGGACGAAAACAGAGAAAAACUCGAGCAAUGGUUGGCAGGUGAUGAUAUGGAAUGCUCUGUGAUAAGCCUUCUUGGAAUGGGUGGUCUUGGUAAAACUGCUUUAGCUGCAAAUGUCUACAAGAAGGAGAGGGAGAAAUUCCAGUGUCAUGCUUGGGUCUCCAUCUCUCAAACUUAUUCUGGAGAAGUUAUAUUGAGAAAUAUAACCAAGGAACUUUUUAAAGAUAAUGUCAGUGUUCUAUCUAGCACCCUGGAUAUGGACAUCAUUAGCCUUGAAGAGACACUAAAGAAAUAUCUGGAGGAAAGGAAGUACUUGAUCAUAUUGGAUGAUGUUUGGGAUCCGGAAGCAUUUCAUGAUUUGUCAAGGAUGUUUACUCAUAAUGAUAGGGGCAGUAGAGUGAUGCUUACAAUAAGGGAAGUCCGCGUCGCCACACUUGCUUCUCCAGGACAUAUCUUAACACUAGAAGCUUUACCCGAAGACAAGGCAUGGGACCUCUUUUGUAAGAAAGCCUUUCUAAGAGAUACAAAUCAUAAAUGUCCUACAGAGUUGAAGCCAUUAUCCGAGGAAAUAGUUGGCAAGUGCAAAGGCUUUCCUCUUGCUAUUGUGUCAAUUGGCAGCCUCUUGCGUGUGCGUGAGAAAACCAUGGAAGAAUGGAGAAGAAUAAAUGACCAACUGAGUUGGGAGAUGAUUAAUAAUUCGAAGCUUGACCACAUAGGAAUAUUUUGUACCUGA
Molecule: ribosomal RNA, 1146 nt
Filed under: Triticum aestivum (bread wheat)
Lineage: Eukaryota; Viridiplantae; Streptophyta; Magnoliopsida; Poales; Poaceae
Description: partial small subunit ribosomal RNA
Source: RNAcentral